GAGAACGGAGUUCAGGCUUGGUGAAU
Molecule: unclassified non-coding RNA, 26 nt
Filed under: Mus musculus (house mouse)
Lineage: Eukaryota; Metazoa; Chordata; Mammalia; Rodentia; Muridae
Description: oocyte_clustered_small_RNA7122
Source: RNAcentral